GCUGGUUUAAGUCAUAUUUAUCAGAUUGUUCGCAGUUUGUACAUGUUAAUGAUGAAUCUUCAAUAAAUACUACAGUUAGUCAUGGAGUUCCACAAGGUUCUGUACUUGGACCAAUACUAUUUACUUUAUAUAUGCUCCCUUUAGGCAACAUUAUUAGGAAUCACCCCAUUAACUUUCACUAUUAUGCAGAUGAUACGCAGUUAUAUCUACCGAUCAAGCCCGAUGAAAUUAAUCAAUUAUCCAAAUUACAAACAUGUCUUAAGGACAUAAAAUCCUGGAUGAGCUGCAAUUUUCUGAUGUUAAACUCAGAAAAAACUGAAAUUCUUGUUCUGGGCCCCAAAAACCUUAGAGACUCACUGUCUAAAGAUAUAGUUACUCUAGAUGGCAUUACCUUGGCCUCUAGCACCACUGUCAGGAAUCUUGGAGUUAUCUUUGAUCAGGAUUUGUCUUUUAACUCCCACAUGAAGCAGACCUCUAGGACUGCCUUCUUUCAUUUACCUAAUAUUACAAAAAUUAGACAUACUAUCACAGACAGAUGCAGAAAAACUAAUCCAUGCAUUUGUUACUUCAAGGCUGGAUUACUGCAACUCUUUAUUAUCAGGUUGCCCCAAUAAGUCCAUUAAAACGCUCCAAUUAAUUCAGAACGCUGCAGCACGAGUACUGACAGGAACUAGAAAAAGAGAUCACAUCUCUCCUGUACUAGCUUCUCUGCACUGGCUGCCUGUAAAAUGUAGAAUAGAAUUUAAAAUCCUCCUCCUCACCUACAAAGCUCUUCAUGGUCAGGCCCCUUCAUAUCUUAAAGAGCUCAUAGUACCCUAUUACCCCUCUAGAACACUACGUUCUCUGAAUGCUGGGCUACUUGUGGUUCCUAUAGUCUCUAAAAGUAGAACAGGAGCCAGAGCCUUCAGUUACCAAGCUCCUCUCCUGUGGAACCAGCUUCCAGUUGGGGUUCGGGAGGCAGACACCCUCUCCACAUUCAAGAGUAGGCUUAAGACAUUCCUCUUUGAUAAAGCUUAUAGUUAGGGCUGGAUCAGGUGAGUCCUGAACCAUCCCUUAGUUAUGCUGCUAUAGGCCUAGACUAUCGGGGGAUUUCCCAUGGUGCACUGAGCUACUCUCUUCCUCUCUCUUUCUGCACUCAUUCAUGUCCCUUUAAUGCAUGUUACUAACUUCACUUCUUCCCCGGAGUUCUUGUGCUUUCUCGUCUCGCAGGUUCUCAUGGAUCCUGGUGGAGCCUCCUGCCAUGGUCCUGCUUGACUGCCAUUGCCAAUACUGUUGUUGCUGUGCACCUGUCUGUCUGUCUGUCUCUCGCUCUCUCUUUCUGCCUCUCUCUCUCUCUCUCUCUCUCUCUCUCUCUCUCUCUCUCUCACCCCAACUGGUCGAGACAGACGACCACCCACCUAGAGCCGGAGGAUCUGUCCUAGGUUUCUGCCUUUUAACAGGCAGUUUUUCCUUGCCCUUGUCUCCAAGGUCUUGCUCAUGGUGGUACUGUUGGGUCUCUGUAAUUAAUGUUAAAGAGUUCGGUCUAGACCUGCUCUAUUUGAAAAGUGUCCUGAGAUAACUUCUGUUAUGAAUUGGCGCUAUACAAAUAAAAUUGAAUUGAAUUGAA
This is a long non-coding RNA of Dicentrarchus labrax (European seabass), 1606 nucleotides long. RefSeq lists it as uncharacterized. NCBI's taxonomy places the organism in Eukaryota, Metazoa, Chordata, Actinopteri, Moronidae. The record is from RefSeq and is a predicted model, not a curated record. The transcript is spliced from 2 exons.